AAGGAGCAUGCACUGAUGGAGCUUGCCCAGAAUCACUUAAUUCCUUAGUGAUGAGUAUGUCAACCUGAUCCUCGUUACUACAAUGGUUACAUCAACGGCUCAGCUUUGGUGGGUACGGAUCUUGCGGGAUUAAAAGGUGGGGAA
Triticum dicoccoides is the source of this 144-nucleotide long non-coding RNA. RefSeq lists it as uncharacterized. Lineage: Eukaryota; Viridiplantae; Streptophyta; Magnoliopsida; Poales; Poaceae. The transcript is spliced from 2 exons. The record is from RefSeq and is a predicted model, not a curated record.